GCCCGCAGAAGUCCUCACAAGUCCACCCGAAUCCGAACAGUUCGCACUCGUAAUGCGUAGGUCAGGAGUUCGAUUCUCCUCUCGGGCUCCA
RNAcentral lists this transfer RNA (91 nucleotides) under Actinomycetota bacterium. Its description in RNAcentral is "tRNA-Thr". Lineage: Bacteria; Bacillati; Actinomycetota. The record is from RNAcentral.